This is a transfer RNA of Camelus ferus (Wild Bactrian camel), 73 nucleotides long. It matches the Rfam family "tRNA". Rfam says of the family: Transfer RNA (tRNA) molecules are approximately 80 nucleotides in length. Their secondary structure includes four short double-helical elements and three loops (D, anti-codon, and T loops). Further hydrogen bonds mediate the characteristic L-shaped molecular structure. tRNAs have two regions of fundamental functional importance: the anti-codon, which is responsible for specific mRNA codon recognition, and the 3' end, to which the tRNAs corresponding amino acid is attached (by aminoacyl-tRNA synthetases). tRNAs cope with the degeneracy of the genetic code in two manners: having more than one tRNA (with a specific anti-codon) for a particular amino acid; and 'wobble' base-pairing, i.e. permitting non-standard base-pairing at the 3rd anti-codon position. NCBI's taxonomy places the organism in Eukaryota, Metazoa, Chordata, Mammalia, Artiodactyla, Camelidae. The record is from Rfam.
GGGGGUAUAUCUCAAGUGGUAGAGCACAAGCUUAGCAUGCAUGAGGUCCUGGGUUCAAUCCACAGUACCUCCU